Molecule: ribosomal RNA, 899 nt
Filed under: Paraphaeosphaeria sp. FW1SW7-1
Lineage: Eukaryota; Fungi; Ascomycota; Dothideomycetes; Pleosporales; Didymosphaeriaceae
Description: SSU rRNA
Rfam family: Eukaryotic small subunit ribosomal RNA
Source: RNAcentral
UAAGUAUAAGCAAUUAUACCGUGAAACUGCGAAUGGCUCAUUAAAUCAGUUAUCGUUUAUUUGAUAGUACCUUACUACUUGGAUAACCGUGGUAAUUCUAGAGCUAAUACAUGCUAAAAACCCCAACUUCGGGAGGGGUGUAUUUAUUAGAUAAAAAACCAAUGCCCUUCGGGGCUCCUUGGUGAUUCAUGAUAACUUCUCAGAUCGCAUGGCUUUACGCCGGCGACGGUUCAUUCAAAUUUCUGCCCUAUCAACUUUCGAUGGUAAGGUAUUGGCUUACCAUGGUUUCAACGGGUAACGGGGAAUUAGGGUUCGAUUCCGGAGAGGGAGCCUGAGAAACGGCUACCACAUCCAAGGAAGGCAGCAGGCGCGCAAAUUACCCAAUUCCGAUACGGAGAGGUAGUGACAAUAAAUACUGAUACAGGGCUCUUUUGGGUCUUGUAAUUGGAAUGAGUACAAUUUAAACCUCUUAACGAGGAACAAUUGGAGGGCAAGUCUGGUGCCAGCAGCCGCGGUAAUUCCAGCUCCAAUAGCGUAUAUUAAAGUUGUUGCAGUUAAAAAGCUCGUAGUUGAACCUUUGGCCUGGCUGGCAGGUCCGCCUCACCGCGUGCACUUGUCCGGCCGGGCCUUUUCUUCUGGAGAACCGCAUGCCCUUCACUGGGUGUGUUGGGGACCAGGACUUUUACUUUGAAAAAAUUAGAGUGUUCAAAGCAGGCCUUUGCUCGAAUACGUUAGCAUGGAAUAAUAGAAUAGGACGUGCGGUCCUAUUUUGUUGGUUUCUAGGACCGCCGUAAUGAUUAAUAGGGACAGUCGGGGGCAUCAGUAUUCAAUUGUCAGAGGUGAAAUUCUUGGAUUUAUUGAAGACUAACUACUGCGAAAGCAUUUGCCAAGGAUGUUUC